Long non-coding RNA from Heterocephalus glaber (naked mole-rat), 790 nucleotides. NCBI's taxonomy places the organism in Eukaryota, Metazoa, Chordata, Mammalia, Rodentia, Bathyergidae. The record is from Ensembl.
CUUAGAUUUAUCUCCGUUAAAGUCUAUAAUAAUUAAACAAAAAUAUUUAUAAUGGGUUUAAAAUGAGCAGAAAAAGGAAGUGAUGACAUUUUGGAUUUCAUUUUAAUAUUGCUAUUCUGACUUUGAAUGUGUUGAGCAAGAGUAGCAAUCACAGCUUAACCAAUGUUCAACUUAUCAAUACCAUUUUUAUAAUCCUUUGAGGGAUGUGAGUCAAAAACCUCCAUUUCAAUUUCCCUAGAGAUCACUGCUGUUUGCUCUUCAAUUCAGAAUAUCUAGGAAGUAAUUGACUUGGAGAAGCUUUUCCUAAAGGAUGAUGCAUGGCAGAUCUCAUAUAUUUAUAAAAUAUGAAGAAAACAGAAAUGGACAUUUUCAUCCUAUAGAUUAAGAAAAGUUGCACAAAACAGAUAAGUAUAUGAACACAAUGAGAGUUCCUGUUCUGUCAUGACUACUCUGUUUAAGCUGUGAGUACUGUCUCACUCAUAAGAGGUUCUCAAUAAAUGUUUCUUUUUGAUCAUGAUAUUUAAUGAUGAUGAGAACCCAAAUGAAAAGACUUUUAGCCUUGAGUUAUUUAGUGGUUAUUUUUCCAAUGACUUUUGUUUUUAUUAUCAUUAAAAAGAACAUGCUAGUUGCCAGAAUACAGAAGCCAUUCCCAAAUUCUUCACAAUAUUAAUUUUUUUUUUUGGUACCGGGGAUUGAACUCAGGUCCUUGCGCUUGUGCAGCAGGCGGCAAAACCACUGAGCUAAAUCCCCGGCCCCAUAAUAUUAAUUUUAUUGAGCUAAAACACAGAAA